Molecule: ribosomal RNA, 254 nt
Filed under: uncultured bacterium
Lineage: Bacteria
Description: partial 16S ribosomal RNA
Rfam family: Bacterial small subunit ribosomal RNA
Source: RNAcentral
CACGUAGGCACCAAGCGUUGUCCGGAUUUAUUGGGCGUAAAGAGCUCGUAGGCGGUUCAGUAAGUCGGGUGUGAAAACUCUGGGCUUAACCCAGAGCCGCCACUCGAUACUGCUGUGACUUGAGUUCGGUAGGGGAGCAGGGAAUUCCUAGUGUAGCGGUGAAAUGCGCAGAUAUUAGGAGGAACACCGGUGGUGAAGGCGCUGCUCUGGGCCGAUACUGACGCUGAGGAGCGAAAGCGUGGGUAGCAAACAGG